GCCCUGGUAACUCAGCCUGGAUAGAGUAUCACCCUCCUAAGGUGGAAGUCGAAAGUUCGAAUCUUUCCCAGGGCGCCA
This 78-nucleotide transfer RNA is filed under the name Bacilli bacterium. RNAcentral's name for it is "tRNA-Arg". It matches the Rfam family "tRNA". Rfam says of the family: Transfer RNA (tRNA) molecules are approximately 80 nucleotides in length. Their secondary structure includes four short double-helical elements and three loops (D, anti-codon, and T loops). Lineage: Bacteria; Bacillati; Bacillota; Bacilli. The record is from RNAcentral. RNAcentral also lists the same sequence under 1 other name.